AGCGAACGCUGGCGGCAGGCCUAAAACAUGCAAGUCGAACGCACCUUCGGGUGAGUGGCGGACGGGUGAGUAACGCGUGGGAACGUGCCCUUUGGUUCGGAACAACUCAGGGAAACUUGAGCUAAUACCGGAUGUGCCCUUCGGGGAAAGAUUUAUCGCCAUUGGAGCGGCCCGCGUUGGAUUAGGUAGUUGGUGGGGUAAAGGCCCACCAAGCCUACGAUCCAUAGCUGGUCUGAGAGGAUGAUCAGCCACAUUGGGACUGAGACACGGCCCAAACUCCUACGGGAGGCAGCAGUUAGGAAUCUUGGGCAAUGGGCGAAAGCCUGACCCAGCCAUGCCGCGUGAAUGAUGAAGGUCCUAGGAUUGUAAAAUUCUUUCACCGGGGAAGAUAAUGACGGUACCCGGAGAAGAAGCUCCGGCUAACUUCGUG
This 430-nucleotide ribosomal RNA is filed under the name uncultured bacterium. RNAcentral describes it as "bacterial SSU rRNA". It matches the Rfam family "Bacterial small subunit ribosomal RNA", at positions 29 to 507 of the family's 1533-position model. The record is from RNAcentral.